CAGCAGGCUGCGGGAGAGAGCAGGGGGGGAGGAAAAAAACUCAAUACCUGCGAGUAUGUGGUGAAGACGAUGCGAGUGGCGCGGAGAGCCGGUGGAAGUUGUCGCUGUGGCGAGCUCCAUGCAGAACCAGAGCGGAGCGGCUAGCGGAAGCGGCUACGGCUCCAAUGGCGCCUGCGUGUGUAACUGCACCGGAGCCCAAGUUCAGGGAAUGGACAUAUGUGAGUGUAAAACCGCUUCGCUUCCAUAUUAACAUCUUUAACGGCUGGCUUUGAACUUCUCAGUAGAGUUUUUUUUUUUUUUUUUUUUUUUUUUUAAAUGUAAGUGCGCAGUUUAAAGGGAACUUGGCCGUUAAAUUUCACCUAACGACACGCUGAAGGGUAGAACCAUCUAAACCUGUUAUUUUAAUGCAUAUCCUGUGUAGUGAACUCGUGGAGGAAGGAGACAGCCAAAGGGAUUGAGUCGCGGUCUGGUGUUUGGACAGUGAUUAACGUUUUCUGUGUCUGUCUCCGCCAAGCCACUAACCCAUCCUAUCUACCUCGAGAGCGGAUAACUACUACUAACACUUGGUGCAUAUGACAGCGUGUUAGUGUAAUGUUUUAGCACAGAGUUCGGCGUGUUACUAUAAUGUUUUAGCAUAGUGUUAAUGUAAUGUUUCAGCACAGGGUUACUGUAUUGCUUCAGCACAGAGUUCAGCGUGUUACUGUAAUGUUUUAGCACAGUGUUACUAGUGUUAGUGUAAUGUUUUAGCACAGCGUCAGUGUAAUGUUUUAGCACAGUGUUAUUGUAAUGUUUUAACACAGAUUUCGGCGUGUUACUGUAAUGGUUUUAGCACAGCGUUAGUGUAAUGUUUUAGCACAGUGUUACUGUAAUGUUUUAGCACAGCGUUAGUGUAAUGUUUUAGCACAGUGUUAGUGUAAUGUUUCAGCACAGUGUUAUUGUAAUGUUUUAGCACAGUGUUACUGUAGUGCUUCAGCACAGCGUUCAGAGUGUUACUGUAAUGUUUUAGCACAGCGUUCAGAGUGUUACUGUAAUGUUUUAGCACAGCGUUCAGAGUGUUACUGUAAUGUUUUAGCACAGUGUUAUUGUAAUGUUUUAGCACAGUGUUACUGUAAUGUUUUGCACAGUGUUACUGUAAUGUUUUAGCACAGUGUUAUUGUAAUGUUUUAGCACAGUGUUAUUGUAAUGUUUUAGCACAGCGUUAGUGUAAUGUUUUAGCACAGUGUUACUAGUGUUAGUGUAAUGUUUUAGCACAGUGUUACUGUAAUGUUUAGCACAGUGUUAUUGUAAUGUUUUAGCACAGCGUUCGUGUAAUGUUUUAGCACAGCGUUAGUGUAAUGUUUUAGCAUUGCGUUAGUGUAAUGUUUUAGCACAGCAUUCAGAGUGUUACUGUAAUGUUUUAGCACAG
This is a long non-coding RNA of Ictalurus punctatus (channel catfish), 1405 nucleotides long. NCBI's taxonomy places the organism in Eukaryota, Metazoa, Chordata, Actinopteri, Siluriformes, Ictaluridae. The record is from Ensembl.